AAUAGAUACCCGGGUAGUCCACGCAGUAAACGAUGAUUACUCGCUGUUUGCGAUACACAGUAAGCGGCUUAGCGAAAGCGUUAAGUAAUCCACCUGGGGAGUACGUUCGCAAGAAUGAAACUCAAAGGAAUUGACGGGGGCCCGCACAAGCGGAGGAACAUGUGGUUUAAUUCGAUGAUACGCGAGGAACCUUACCCGGGCUUGAAAUGCAUCUGACAGGAGCAGAGACGCUCUCUCCCUUCGGGGCAGAUGUGUAGGUGCUGCAUGGUUGUCGUCAGCUCGUGCCGUGAGGUGUCGGCUUAAGUGCCAUAACGAGCGCAACCCUCAUCAUUAGUUACCAUCAGGUUAAGCUGGGGACUCUAAUGAGACUGCCAUCGUAAGAUGUGAGGAAGGUGGGGAUGACGUCAAAUCAGCACGGCCCUUACGUCCGGGGCGACACACGUGUUACAAUGGAUGGUACAAAGGGCAGCUACAUGGCGACAUGAUGCUAAUCUCCAAAACCAUUCUC
RNAcentral lists this ribosomal RNA (508 nucleotides) under uncultured bacterium. Its description in RNAcentral is "bacterial SSU rRNA". It matches the Rfam family "Bacterial small subunit ribosomal RNA", at positions 777 to 1289 of the family's 1533-position model. The record is from RNAcentral.